GAUGAACGCUGGCGGCGUGCCUAAUACAUGCAAGUCGAGCGAACAGACGAGGAGCUUGCUCCUCUGACGUUAGCGGCGGACGGGUGAGUAACACGUGGAUAACCUACCUAUAAGACUGGGAUAACUUCGGGAAACCGGAGCUAAUACCGGAUAAUAUAUUGAACCGCAUGGUUCAAUAGUGAAAGACGGUUUUGCUGUCACUUUAGAUGGAUCCGCGCCGCAUUAGCUAGUUGGUAAGGUAACGGCUUACCAAGGCAACGAUGCGUAGCCGACCUGAGGGGGUGAUCGGCCACACUGGAACUGAGACACGGUCCAGACUCCUACGGGAGGCAGCAGUAGGGAAUCUUCCGCAAUGGGCGAAAGCCUGACGGAGCAACGCCGCGUGAGUGAUGAAGGUCUUCGGAUCGUAAAACUCUGUUAUUAGGGAAGAACAAAUGUGUAAGUAACUAUGCACGUCUUGACGGUACCUAAUCAGAAAGCCACGGCUAACUACGUG
This 496-nucleotide ribosomal RNA is filed under the name uncultured bacterium. RNAcentral's name for it is "partial 16S ribosomal RNA". It matches the Rfam family "Bacterial small subunit ribosomal RNA", at positions 28 to 507 of the family's 1533-position model. The record is from RNAcentral.